AUUGAACGCUGGCGGCAGGCCUAACACAUGCAAGUCGAACGCGAAAGUCACUUCGGUGGCGAGUAGAGUGGCGGACGGGUGAGUAACGCGUAGGAAUCUGCCCUGUAGUGGGGGAUAACCCGGGGAAACUCGGGCUAAUACCGCAUACGCCCCACGGGGGAAAGCGGGGGAUCCUUCGGGACCUCGCGCUAUAGGAAGAGCCUGCGUCGGAUUAGCUAGUUGGUAGGGUAAAGGCCUACCAAGGCGACGAUCCGUAGCUGGUCUGAGAGGAUGAUCAGCCACACCGGAACUGAGACACGGUCCGGACUCCUACGGGUGGCUG
This 322-nucleotide ribosomal RNA is filed under the name uncultured Pseudomonadota bacterium. RNAcentral describes it as "bacterial SSU rRNA". It matches the Rfam family "Bacterial small subunit ribosomal RNA", at positions 30 to 351 of the family's 1533-position model. Lineage: Bacteria; Pseudomonadati; Pseudomonadota. The record is from RNAcentral.